AAGGGGGAGGGGAUGGAACCGCUGGUCAGACAGGGUCCCCCUACAGUCUCUCCUUGAGGCUUCCCUGGAAGGCACUGUUGGACCCCUGCAGCUCUUGUUGCCCUCCCCCUCCAUGGAUAACAUAUGCAUGUCUGGGGAGCAGCGGACAAUCACAGAACACAGAGGUGACCCCAGCAAAUCUGAUCUGUUUUUCCUUGGUGCAUAGUGACUGGAAGUUGUGUUUGAGGGUAUGUGAGGCUGGAUACCAUCAGGGCUGCGGGCUGCCCCUGUCAUGCUCUGCAGCGGGUGAGCAGGAUGGGACACCCCACACACACGAGCCACUGCCCCCACCCAGCAAGCCUCAUCCCUCUGAGGGCUACUGUACGGGGCAUUGGCCAUAUCUUGCAAAAUAGUUACACAGAACGAUGAAUUCCUGCACACAUUAGAUUAGUUCCUCACAGCCCCAGGAUUUGGAAGUUAGGGUUAGGGUUAGAAUGGCUGGACACAAAGCCAGUUAAUGUGGGAAGAACUUAAAAUGGCCCAGUGUCUGCAAGACACAGAACAGAGCUGGCAGUGUGGGCUCCUGAGCUUCCUCUGUUCUGAAACAAAGUGUAGGCUUUGACAAAUCCAUGUUCUAAUCCAUAGGUUCUGUCUCCGACCUCAGCCAAAUGCUUCUGGGUGUGUUUGCUUUUCUGCCUUUGAGAUUUUUCCUGUCUUGCAGGCUAAUUUGGGCCGCACCUUUGCCUGCCUUGUUCCAUCCUCUGCCUAAAAUCGUCUCUAUUUUCCAUCUCUAGUGUAGAUUUUCACCAAGCCACGUUUCCCGUUUCCAGACUGAGCCACCUGCUAGGUGGGCCAGUUGAUUGACACAUUCAUUGUUCAGAAAGCAGUACCGGGUGUGUCCUCGUGACCAGUGGGAGGGACUCAGCUACCACUGAGCGGUUCUUUUCUGCACAGUUCUGGUCUCCAAGGUUCUGUCCCUUCCAUCUCCAGUGCACCACGUUUUCCUAGAAAACAUAGCAUCUUUCUUGCUUUCAGAUGACCUCCAGUUGGAGGUGACCCACACAUGUUUACCAUGCCAGGUCUCCUAAUUUUAAUAGAGAAAUUUAUAGAAGCAGAACAUUAUUUUUUUCACGUGCAUUUCAACAUAUUUAUGAGAUUCCAAAGUCAAAUAAAACAAGAUGCAGCCAUAGAAGUGCAGCUUCUGCCCGUGACUGUCUGCUUUCUUCCUUCCCCUCUCCUGCAGGUGACCACUUGCAUUUUUCUUAUUUACUCUUCUACUUAGGAAAGUGUAUUAAAUGCAGCAUGUGCCGGUGCGCCCACUGUCCUGGUAAAAGCCAUGCAGCACGCAACCCUCCCCCGGCUGGUCUCUGCAGAGUGUCCUGGAUGUCUCUCCAAAGGUUCUGCCGUGUUUUCUGGAGAAGCAGACUUCGUGGGGUGUGGGCAGACAGAGAAAGAUUCUGCUACAACAUCAGCUUGUGUGGUUAUAGAAUCUGCUGAGCUCCCACCUUGGCAGAUCCCCUCUGAAGGCGGCAGCUAGAGAAGCAGAAAGAGCUGGUGCCACGUCUGAGUUCAGAGGCAGGAGGAAGCUGGGGUCCCAGCUCAAAGGCAGUGUCAUGGUUUAUGUCUGUGUCCCCCAGGCCUCAUGAGUUUGCAUUGUGCAUUUAUGAUUGGUUCAUUGUCUAGUGCUUGAAUUGAUGGUGUUAGUGCUCCACCCACAAAAGGGUGGAGCCAGGAUCUGAUGUAAUGGCAGGAAGAAGGUGUGUCUUGCUCUUUGCUGGUUCCUGUUUGCUGUUUGCAGCCGCUAUGAACUGCAGCCCAGCCAUGCCUGCCUGCCUUGGAGCCAACUGAGUGUGGACUGAAACCUCCAAAAACUAAUGACUGCUCCCGGCCCGAGAACUGCAGCCAGUUGUGAAUCCUGAAUCUGGGUUGAUGCCAUGCUGACUGGAGUCUCCCAGCUGGGCACAGGAACUGUCCUGUGUCCUAAGCAGUGGUGCCAGGGGAUGGGACUCGACAAGAGUGACUGAUGUGCACCCAGACACAGCCUGUAAGGACAAAGAGUUUGCGCUGACGCAUGAAGGAUGAUGACAUCUCCAAAUUCAGCUGCACAGGGCUCGGAUGUAGGAGGAUCUGAAACAUACGCAGUUACAAGACGCCGUCGUAGUGUCACGAGGAGUGCAAAGGUCAGCGUGCUUCAGGACAGCUUUACAGGGAGACGUCAUAGAUGUCAUGUGGCAUCUGGCACAGUAAUGACGUCAAACUGCUGAUGACGCACGGCUGACGUCACUGCUCAUCUGCAAAGCGCCUGGUGCUCUCGCCCCAUAUUUCCCAAGCCGCGGGGAGAGUGUUAUCUACAGCCACGCCGUCCCCUGCCCGUUUCCUGGAGGUUGUGAGCAGUGGUCAUGCACACGGCCCAGCUGCUCACACCCUUCCCUGGCUCUUGAAUACCUCCUGAUGCCCACAUUCCUUCCCCACUGUUCCCAGAAGUCGCUGAGGCUUCCCUCAUAAGCUUGCUUACGACAGUCGACUUCACUAGUUGGACAGGGCCUGUUAUUCAUUGCUUCUUCCUUUCUUUGAGAUCAUAGACAAGCUCUCUGGAGCCUUUGAAGCCACCUUGGGACCAUGAGAAGAAAAAGGAAACAGAUGGAGUCUGAGUCUUUGAAGCUGCUAGAGUGGCUCAGGAGAUCUGACUUCCUGACUUCUCCAUGAGAAAAUAAAGCCCUAAUAUGUUUAAGCCACAAGGUCCAAUCUAGAAAGAUAAGGUUAGGUGUCCAAAUGGAUACAACUUCAGGCAGUCAAACUUCUAGUAAUGUCUUUGUCAUAUUGUCUUCAAAAUUUUACAGAUUUUUCAUUUUAUUAUCUUCCAUAAUAUGAGCCAAUUAAUACCUCUUUCUAUUAAAAAGAUAUUUUAUAUUAGAAGCAGGAAUACUAUAAUCUCCUCUCUCUCUCUCUCUCUCUCUCUCUCUGUCUCUCUCUCUCUCUCUCUCUCUCUCUCUCUCUCUCUCUCUCUCUCUCUCUCUCUCUCUCGUCCUAGGGAUUGAACUCAGUGUCUUUGUGCUAAGCCCUUUUUAUUUCAUUUCUCUAAUUUUUGAGACAAGGUUGUAAGUCACUAAGUAGCCCAGACUCGGCUUGAAUUUGUGACCCUCCUGCCUCAGCCUCCCAGAGUGGACCACCGCAUGCAGCUCUUCCUUUCCUUUUUAAUCCCUCUUGAAUUUGCUGAGUCCUAAUGUCAUGCAUACAACAAAUGCUCAGUAAACCCUUGGAAAUUGGUGAGUUGUUCAAUCUUCCUCCUGAACCGAUACCUUCACAUGACAGAUUAUAAGCCAAUUAAAUAUGCAUGGUACUUUCAAAA
This is a long non-coding RNA of Cavia porcellus (domestic guinea pig), 3328 nucleotides long. RefSeq lists it as uncharacterized. The transcript has 3 exons. NCBI's taxonomy places the organism in Eukaryota, Metazoa, Chordata, Mammalia, Rodentia, Caviidae. The record is from RefSeq and is a predicted model, not a curated record.